RNAcentral lists this ribosomal RNA (490 nucleotides) under uncultured bacterium. Its description in RNAcentral is "bacterial SSU rRNA". It matches the Rfam family "Bacterial small subunit ribosomal RNA", at positions 19 to 518 of the family's 1533-position model. The record is from RNAcentral.
UCUGGUCAGGACGAACGCUGGCGGCGUGCCUAACACAUGCAAGUCGAGCGGAGUUAAUGAAAGCUUGCUUUGAUUAACUAGCGGCGGACGGGUGAGUAACGCGUGGGCAACCUGCCUGUUACAGGGGGAUAACACAGGGAAACUUGUGCUAAUACCGCAUAACACAACGAGAAAGCAUUUUCUUGUUGUCAAAGGAGCAAUCCGGUAGCAGAUGGGCCCGCGUCCAAUUAGCUAGUUGGUGAUGUAACGGACCACCAAGGCGACGAUUGGUAGCCGAACUGAGAGGUUGAUCGGCCACAUUGGGACUGAGACACGGCCCAGACUCCUACGGGAGGCAGCAGUGGGGAAUAUUGCACAAUGGGGGAAACCCUGAAUGCAGCAACGCCGCGUGAAGGAUGAAGGUUUUCGGAUUGUAAACUUCUUUAGUCAGGGACGAAUAAAUGACGGUACCUGAAGAAUAAGCCACGGCUAACUACGUGCCAGCCGCCGC